RNAcentral lists this ribosomal RNA (253 nucleotides) under uncultured bacterium. RNAcentral describes it as "partial 16S ribosomal RNA". It matches the Rfam family "Bacterial small subunit ribosomal RNA", at positions 524 to 776 of the family's 1533-position model. The record is from RNAcentral.
UACGUAGGGUGCGAGCGUUAAUCGGAAUUACUGGGCGUAAAGCGUGCGCAGGCGGUUUUGUAAGCCAGAUGUGAAACCCCCGGGCUUAACCUGGGAAUGGCAUUUGGGACUGCAAGGCUGGAGUUUGGCAGAGGAGACUGGAAUUCCUGGUGUAGCAGUGAAAUGCGUAGAUAUCAGGAGGAAUACCGAUGGCGAAGGCAGGUCUCUGGGCUAUAACUGACGCUCAUGCACGAAAGCGUGGGGAGCAAACAGG